AGGGGCAGGGGUGGGAGGAGAGAGAACAAAAACUCAUUGAGCCAGUUGUUGCUGGGAACAAGGGUCACACUUGGCCACCUAGUUAGGCUCUGUGAGCGGUGGGGGAUUCCAGAGGCUUGGCCCAGUAAUCUCCAUGGACAAUGCCCGCGAAGAACAAGCCCUCAGCAGAAGCCUGCCAGCACUAACUAGCCUCGUCACCAGAGUCGGGGGAUUGUGUAGCUCCGCUCUGUUUGCUUUUCCCUUUGCCAGUCUGUCCCUGCCUUUGUGCCUGCCACUUCCAAAGGGGACCGGCCUUCUGAACAGAUAUAUCUCACCAAUGUGGCACCUCAGGAUGGAGACUGCGGCUCCGUGCGGUGUACAUGGCAUCUCUCAGCUGUCCAGGGACAGGAGCAGUUGUGACAUGGAGCCAGGCACCAGGAUCAGGCCAGGCCCGGGAGCUUCUGAGCUAGCUGUAGGACUGUCCUUUGGAUCCACCGAGCCACAGCUUUUGGUUCAGAGGGUGUGGACAGUGACGCCCUGCUCCAGAACAGCCCUCGGUUGAUCUACAGACAGUGCUCCGAGAAGAGGAAAACACAGAGGGCCGAGGAACUCAAGAUGGAGGGCAGGGCAGCUCACCUCCCACUGGUCACUUAGCUCCUCUCUCUGGGUGCCAACUUCCUUUUCUACUUCUAGGGGAGCCUGAAGAUGUCUAAAGUCCUGUUGGGCACCAAGACAGAUUCUAUGCUACAAUACCCUCCAUGAUACACAGUACAACCAGCAGGCCCAAGGCUUGCUCGAGGUCUCUCCUCCUCUAAGGAGUCUCCUGUAAUUCACCAGUGGUUAGCUGCUUGCUCCUGCUCACCCUAUACUACACUUCAAGGCGCUUCUCCGUGUUUCAGUCAGAUCUGCAGCAGCCCCGGGCUCAGGCUCCUUCCUCCAAUCACCUCUGUUCCUGAAUUGAUGCUUGUUAAAUAAGAGACAGAUCAAGAUGCCCCAUGUGACAAGGGCCUGAGGGCUGAGAGUUCCUGUGUUUGCCACUCAGCCUGGCUCAAUGUCCAGCAAGCCUGUCUCUCUGCAUCUCUGCAGGCUGAAGAUGGAACUGUGGAGCUCACAUCUCACAUCCAGCAGCUCUCCAGGGUGGCAUUCUCCUCAGACAACAUCUUGGGCUUUCCCAAAGACAAAGAGCAACAAGCUUCAGGCUCCAGACCCCUGUGUGGGUCAUGGGUUGGGUCAUAUCUCUGACACUCCCAUCUAUUUGUGCACACUCAAAGGGCAGUGACCUCCUGGUGACUCUGGGGGCUGGCUGAGCACCCUGGGAGAGAAGAAGAACUCAGCAUCUGUUUGGGUUUGCCCAGCACUUUUUCCAAGUGGCAGUUGAUGGUGUGAAAGUAAACAGCGGAUAGUACUUCUGUUCACUGAGGUGUGAACGGGGAGACAGUAAGCAGCUGAGACCAAAGCUGUGGCAUUUUAGGCAGCAGGGCAUAAAGAGGCAGAGAACAGAGAGCCAGGCUUUGCCCUACACUUACCUACAGGCCUUCAAGUCUUAGCUAACAGGUGAGGGCAUCCCUCUGUCUUUGGUAUCAAAGGAGCUUGGUCCCCACACCACUAACCCCUUGAAUACCCAAAUCCAUAGGUGCCCAAGUCCCUUAGAUAAAAGAGUACAGGUGUGUUUAAAGGACAUACAGCCUCCUCUAUACUUUAAAUCAUCUCUAGCUUAGUUUUCAUGCCCAAACAACUGUUUGUAGCUGUUUGCUAUCUGUGUAGAGAAUGGUGGCAAGAAAAAGAAAUCUAUAUUCAGUGUAGAUGAAACUUUUGUUUCCAGUCUACAGUUGGUCGACUCUCCAGAUGCAGAAGUUAUGGACGGAGAAUGUGGGCUUCUCCUCAGACUUAUUAAUUAGGCAGUGUUGACCUCCAGCCUGGUGACCUGCUCAGUUGCUCUGAGCUUCCCUUCCUUCCUCUGUAUAAGGGAAAUGCUGAGAGCCACACUGCAGAGGCGACUUGGUGCCUGAUCUAAGGGUCAGGGAACCCUACUGAUUCACUUCUAGUGAUUUUUCACACAUGUUUACCCUGAGCCCGAACUGUGCCCAGUGCUGGAAAUGAACAGGCCAGUGAGAUACAAUCUCUGCUCCAAGAGAGCACAGUCCACAUAAAACACAAAGUGAUAUUGGCAUUCUAAAUAGUCAGUAUAUGCAUAUGGCAUAUGUAUUUAUACAUAGCCAUCACUAACGCCUGGACCUUUUUGAUUGGCUACAAUGGAUUAAAACCAUGGAUCUAAAGAGGAGCUAGAUCUGGGACUUACCCAUGGCUUUGUCACUUACUGACUGAAUACAUUGCACUGCAUUAUACAAUC
Molecule: non-coding RNA, 2329 nt
Organism: Peromyscus maniculatus bairdii (prairie deer mouse)
Lineage: Eukaryota; Metazoa; Chordata; Mammalia; Rodentia; Cricetidae
Source: RefSeq, a predicted model, not a curated record